This 2926-nucleotide ribosomal RNA is filed under the name Escherichia coli. Its description in RNAcentral is "bacterial LSU rRNA". It matches the Rfam family "Bacterial large subunit ribosomal RNA". The record is from RNAcentral. Lineage: Bacteria; Pseudomonadati; Pseudomonadota; Gammaproteobacteria; Enterobacterales; Enterobacteriaceae.
GGGUUGUGAGGUUAAGCGACUAAGCGUACACGGUGGAUGCCCUGGCAGUCAGAGGCGAUGAAGGACGUGCUAAUCUGCGAUAAGCGUCGGUAAGGUGAUAUGAACCGUUAUAACCGGCGAUUUCCGAAUGGGGAAACCCAGUGUGAUUCGUCACACUAUCAUUAACUGAAUCCAUAGGUUAAUGAGGCGAACCGGGGGAACUGAAACAUCUAAGUACCCCGAGGAAAAGAAAUCAACCGAGAUUCCCCCAGUAGCGGCGAGCGAACGGGGAGGAGCCCAGAGCCUGAAUCAGUGUGUGUGUUAGUGGAAGCGUCUGGAAAGGCGCGCGAUACAGGGUGACAGCCCCGUACACAAAAAUGCACAUGCUGUGAGCUCGAUGAGUAGGGCGGGACACGUGGUAUCCUGUCUGAAUAUGGGGGGACCAUCCUCCAAGGCUAAAUACUCCUGACUGACCGAUAGUGAACCAGUACCGUGAGGGAAAGGCGAAAAGAACCCCGGCGAGGGGAGUGAAAAAGAACCUGAAACCGUGUACGUACAAGCAGUGGGAGCCUCUUUAUGGGGUGACUGCGUACCUUUUGUAUAAUGGGUCAGCGACUUAUAUUCUGUAGCAAGGUUAACCGAAUAGGGGAGCCGAAGGGAAACCGAGUCUUAACUGGGCGUUAAGUUGCAGGGUAUAGACCCGAAACCCGGUGAUCUAGCCAUGGGCAGGUUGAAGGUUGGGUAACACUAACUGGAGGACCGAACCGACUAAUGUUGAAAAAUUAGCGGAUGACUUGUGGCUGGGGGUGAAAGGCCAAUCAAACCGGGAGAUAGCUGGUUCUCCCCGAAAGCUAUUUAGGUAGCGCCUCGUGAACUCAUCUCCGGGGGUAGAGCACUGUUUCGGCAAGGGGGUCAUCCCGACUUACCAACCCGAUGCAAACUGCGAAUACCGGAGAAUGUUAUCACGGGAGACACACGGCGGGUGCUAACGUCCGUCGUGAAGAGGGAAACAACCCAGACCGCCAGCUAAGGUCCCAAAGUCAUGGUUAAGUGGGAAACGAUGUGGGAAGGCCCAGACAGCCAGGAUGUUGGCUUAGAAGCAGCCAUCAUUUAAAGAAAGCGUAAUAGCUCACUGGUCGAGUCGGCCUGCGCGGAAGAUGUAACGGGGCUAAACCAUGCACCGAAGCUGCGGCAGCGACGCUUAUGCGUUGUUGGGUAGGGGAGCGUUCUGUAAGCCUGCGAAGGUGUACUGUGAGGUAUGCUGGAGGUAUCAGAAGUGCGAAUGCUGACAUAAGUAACGAUAAAGCGGGUGAAAAGCCCGCUCGCCGGAAGACCAAGGGUUCCUGUCCAACGUUAAUCGGGGCAGGGUGAGUCGACCCCUAAGGCGAGGCCGAAGGGCGUAGUCGAUGGGAAACAGGUUAAUAUUCCUGUACUUGGUGUUACUGCGAAGGGGGGACGGAGAAGGCUAUGUUGGCCGGGCGACGGUUGUCCCGGUUUAAGCGUGUAGGCUGGUUUUCCAGGCAAAUCCGGAAAAUCAAGGCUGAGGCGUGAUGACGAGGCACUACGGUGCUGAAGCAACAAAUGCCCUGCUUCCAGGAAAAGCCUCUAAGCAUCAGGUAACAUCAAAUCGUACCCCAAACCGACACAGGUGGUCAGGUAGAGAAUACCAAGGCGCUUGAGAGAACUCGGGUGAAGGAACUAGGCAAAAUGGUGCCGUAACUUCGGGAGAAGGCACGCUGAUACGUAGGUGAAGUCCCUUGCGGAUGGAGCUGAAAUCAGUCGAAGAUACCAGCUGGCUGCAACUGUUUAUUAAAAACACAGCACUGUGCAAACACGAAAGUGGACGUAUACGGUGUGACGCCUGCCCGGUGCCGGAAGGUUAAUUGAUGGGGUUAGCGGUAACGCGAAGCUCUUGAUCGAAGCCCCGGUAAACGGCGGCCGUAACUAUAACGGUCCUAAGGUAGCGAAAUUCCUUGUCGGGUAAGUUCCGACCUGCACGAAUGGCGUAAUGAUGGCCAGGCUGUCUCCACCCGAGACUCAGUGAAAUUGAACUCGCUGUGAAGAUGCAGUGUACCCGCGGCAAGACGGAAAGACCCCGUGAACCUUUACUAUAGCUUGACACUGAACAUUGAGCCUUGAUGUGUAGGAUAGGUGGGAGGCUUUGAAGUGUGGACGCCAGUCUGCAUGGAGCCGACCUUGAAAUACCACCCUUUAAUGUUUGAUGUUCUAACGUUGGCCCCUAAUCGGGGUUGCGGACAGUGUCUGGUGGGUAGUUUGACUGGGGCGGUCUCCUCCUAAAGAGUAACGGAGGAGCACGAAGGUUGGCUAAUCCUGGUCGGACAUCAGGAGGUUAGUGCAAUGGCAUAAGCCAGCUUGACUGCGAGCGUGACGGCGCGAGCAGGUGCGAAAGCAGGUCAUAGUGAUCCGGUGGUUCUGAAUGGAAGGGCCAUCGCUCAACGGAUAAAAGGUACUCCGGGGAUAACAGGCUGAUACCGCCCAAGAGUUCAUAUCGACGGCGGUGUUUGGCACCUCGAUGUCGGCUCAUCACAUCCUGGGGCUGAAGUAGGUCCCAAGGGUAUGGCUGUUCGCCAUUUAAAGUGGUACGCGAGCUGGGUUUAGAACGUCGUGAGACAGUUCGGUCCCUAUCUGCCGUGGGCGCUGGAGAACUGAGGGGGGCUGCUCCUAGUACGAGAGGACCGGAGUGGACGCAUCACUGGUGUUCGGGUUGUCAUGCCAAUGGCACUGCCCGGUAGCUAAAUGCGGAAGAGAUAAGUGCUGAAAGCAUCUAAGCACGAAACUUGCCCCGAGAUGAGUUCUCCCUGACUCCUUGAGAGUCCUGAAGGAACGUUGAAGACGACGACGUUGAUAGGCCGGGUGUGUAAGCGCAGCGAUGCGUUGAGCUAACCGGUACUAAUGAACCGUGAGGCUUAACCUUACAACGCCGAAG